CAAUAGCGUAUAUUAAAGUUGUUGCAGUUAAAAAGCUCGUAGUUGGAUUUCUGGUGGGAGCGAUCGGUCUGGCGCUUAGCGCGAGUACUUGCAUCGUCUCCGGCCAUCCUUGGGGAGAGUCUGUCUGGCAUUAGGUUGUCGGGCAGAGGAUCCUCAUCGUUUACUGUGAAAAAAUUAGAGUGUUCAAAGCAGGCUUAUGCCGUUGAAUAUAUUAGCAUGGAAUAAUAAGAUAGGACUUUGGUACUAUUUUGUUGGUUUGCGUACCAAAGUAAUGAUUAAUAGGGACAGUUGGGGGUAUUCGUAUUCCGUUGUCAGAGGUGAAAUUCUUGGAUUUACGGAAGACGAACUACUGCGAAAGCAUUUACCAAGGAUGUUUUCAUUAA
Molecule: ribosomal RNA, 383 nt
Filed under: uncultured eukaryote
Lineage: Eukaryota
Description: partial 18S ribosomal RNA
Rfam family: Eukaryotic small subunit ribosomal RNA
Source: RNAcentral